RNAcentral lists this ribosomal RNA (486 nucleotides) under uncultured bacterium. RNAcentral's name for it is "partial 16S ribosomal RNA". It matches the Rfam family "Bacterial small subunit ribosomal RNA", at positions 30 to 507 of the family's 1533-position model. The record is from RNAcentral.
AUUGAACGCUGGCGGCAUGCCUUACACAUGCAAGUCGAACGGCAGCACGGGUGCUUGCACCUGUUGGCGAGUGGCGAACGGGUGAGUAAUACAUCGGAACAUGUCCUGUAGUGGGGGAUAGCCCGGCGAAAGCCGGAUUAAUACCGCAUACGAUCUACGGAUGACAGCGGGGGACCUUCGGGCCUCGCGCUAUAGGGUUGGCCGAUGGCUGAUUAGCUAGUUGGUGGGGUAAAGGCCUACCAAGGCGACGAUCAGUAGCUGGUCUGAGAGGACGACCAGCCACACUGGGACUGAGACACGGCCCAGACUCCUACGGGAGGCAGCAGUGGGGAAUUUUGGACAAUGGGCGAAAGCCUGAUCCAGCAAUGCCGCGUGUGUGAAGAAGGCCUUCGGGUUGUAAAGCACUUUUGUCCGGAAAGAAAUCCUUGGCCCUAAUACGGUCGGGGGAUGACGGUACCGGAAGAAUAAGCACCGGCUAACUACGUG